RNA transcript from Malania oleifera, 4955 nucleotides. It is a transcript of the gene named triacylglycerol lipase SDP1-like, with no coding region annotated. The transcript is spliced from 4 exons. The record is from RefSeq and is a predicted model, not a curated record. Lineage: Eukaryota; Viridiplantae; Streptophyta; Magnoliopsida; Santalales; Ximeniaceae.
UUUGAGUUACGUCAAAAUGACCAUGGCCGCCACACUAGCGUUUUCGUUUCUUGGGAUUCAAAUCUCUGCGUCAGAGCCGCCGCGAAAGCCUUUCUUUAUGCCUACAAGCAAUACGAAACCACUUUCGUCACGCAACACUUGCUUCCCAGAACAAGGAUUUCACUUACCCAAACUGCUUUGAUUGUUUUCAUUCUCCAAAAUCAAAGGCCUCCAUGACCAGAAGCUUUGUCUCGUAGCACAACGACAGUCUUCUUCUUCUUCUUCUUCUUCCUUAUCCUCUGCCUUUUCUAUCCGUUCCUGCUGACUCACUUCAAUCGUCACCAUAUCGGUACUAAUCGUUAUCGCCUCCUUCAGUUUUCCCAACUCCCAUUGCCUCCAUAAAUUCAGUUCGAUUGCUCUAGCUUCUUCGCUCAUUCCUGGUGUUGCUUUCGUUCUGUUAUCGUAUGAUUUCUGGUGAUCUUCGAGCUUUUGUCAACAGAUUCUGGGGUCUGUUUGGGAUACCCAUUUGGGCUUUCGUUUGUUUGGGUUGGGAAUUUUAGGGUUUGUGGCCAGCUCUUCUUGUGUUCUCUUGGCAUCUGCUGUCUUGAGCGGAACUUGGAACCCGGUCGGCGAUUUCCAGGUUGGAAUUUGUUUCACUGAAUCGUUAUUUUUUGUUCAAUUAGGUUUCCUUUUGUUUGAAUCAUUAGGAAAUUCAUCAGCCCUAUGCUGAUCUUAUAGAUUGGGGCCCGAAUGGUCUAAGGCAUGAGCACAUGUACUAUUUCUGGUGCAAAUAAUCAUUUCGUCAGGGUUAGUUUUCGUCUAACCACGCGUACAGUUUCUGGUGCAAAUAAUCAUAGCGUUAGGGUUAGUUUUCGUCUACAAUUGUUGAAAUUUCUGCGUAUCUAAUCGUUGGCCAAAAAAUGGAACCCAUUUUUCAUGUUCCUCUAGUGUUGUUUGAUUAGAGUGCCAUUCAAAAAAAUUAAAACUUUCCUCCUCCUCCCCAACCACCCCCCCACCCCGCCUCUUUUCCCCCUUACUUCGCUCCCUGCUUACAAAAUUGAGGUGUCUGCUGUAUAGUAUAUUAGAGCGUCAUAUAUUCUUUCCUCUGCUGUCAAUUUGGGGUUCAAUAAAACUUAUCUUCUCGACAUCAGCAUUCUUUGUAAUUUUUUUUUUUUACUGAGUUAUGGAUAUAAGUAAUGAGGCCAGAGUUUAUCCUUUCUCAAUUGGACCUUCGACAGUUGUUGGUCGAGCAAUUGCUUUUAAAAUCUUAUUCUGCAAGUCAAUGUCGCAGCUGAGGCAGCAAAUCUUUCACGUGUUGCUGAAUUUGAUGUAUAAAUUUAGGGACUGUUUGGCACCCAAAGUAUCAUGGUUGCAUCCUAGAAACCCACAUGGCAUAUUAGCAAUGAUGACAAUUAUAGCUUUUAUAUUGAAACGAUACACAAAUGUAAAAUCAAGGGCAGAGUUGGCUUAUCGGAGGAAGUUUUGGAGGAAUAUGAUGAGAAUGGCGUUGACUUAUGAAGAGUGGGCUCAUGGUGCCAAAAUGCUUGAUAAAGAGACUCCAAAGAUGAAUGAGUCUGGCCUUUAUGAUGAAGAACUGGUUAGAAACAAGCUACGAGAGCUCCGGCACCGUAGACAGAAGGGCUCUCUUAGAGACAUUAUGUUUUACAUGCGAGCAGAUCUCUUUAGAAAUCUUGGUAAUAUGUGUAACCCUGAGCUUCACAAGGGAAGGCUUCAAGUGCCCAAGUUAAUAAAAGAAUAUAUUGACGAGGUGUCCACUCAGUUGCGAAUGGUUUGUCACUCAGAUUCAGAGGAGCUUGUAUUGGAAGAGAAACUUGCUUUUAUGCAUGAAACAAGACAUGCCUUUGGGAGAACCGCUUUGCUUUUAAGUGGGGGUGCUUCCCUUGGAGCUUUUCAUGUGGGUGUGGUUCGAACACUAAUAGAGCAUAAGGUCAUGCCCCGGAUAAUUGCUGGCUCCAGUGCAGGGUCCGUUAUUUGUGCUGUUCUUGCUACUAAGUCUUGGCCUGAGAUCCAGAGUUUCUUUGAGGAUUCUUUGCACUCAUUGCAGUUUUUUGACCAGAUGGGAGGUAUUUUUACAGUUGUUAAGAGGGUUAUGAGACAAGGGGCUGUUCAUGAAAUCAGGCAACUGCAAAUUCUUUUAAGGCAUCUCACAAGUAAUCUUACAUUUCAAGAAGCUUAUGACAUGACAGGCCGAAUUCUUGGGAUUACAGUCUGCUCCCCAAGGAAGCAUGAGCCCCCAAGACUCCUUAAUUAUUUGACUUCACCUCAUGUUGUCAUAUGGAGUGCAGUCACUGCUUCUUGUGCCUUUCCUGGCCUUUUUGAAGCUCAAGAACUGAUGGCAAAAAAUAGAAGUGGGGAACUUGUUCCUUAUCAUCCACCAUUCCAUUUAGAUCCUGAAGAGGCUUCUAACAUGCCUGCACGCAGAUGGAGGGAUGGUGGCUUGGAGAUGGAUUUACCCAAGAUGCAAUUGAAGGAACUGUUCAAUGUCAAUCAUUUUAUUGUGAGUCAAGCAAACCCUCAUGCUUCAGCAAUAUUGAGGCUGAAGGAGUUUGUGAGAGCUUAUGGUGGGAACUUUGCUGCCAAGCUUGUUCACCUUGCGGAAAUGGAAGUCAAACAUAGAUGCAACCAGAUCGUUGAACUUGGUUUUCCAUUUCAGGGACUUGCCAAGGUGAUGGUACAAGAUUGGGAGGGUGAUAUCACUGUUGUUGUUCCUGCUACACCUGCUCAGUAUUUCAGACUUAUACAGAACCCAACUCACGUGGAGCUUCAGAAGGCAUCCAACCAAGGGAGGAGAUGCAUUUGGGAAAAACUCUCAGCCAUUAAAGCCAACUGUGGCAUAGAACUUGCUCUUGAUGAAUGUGUUGCAAUUCUCAAUCACAUGCGUAGACUUAAAAGGAGUGCUGAGAGAGCUGCUGCUUCUUCUCAUGGCCUAGCCAGCUCGGUUAAAUUCAGUGCUUCUAGAAGAAUUCCCUCUUGGAAUUGCAUCGCACGAGAGAACUCAACGGGGUCCCUAGAGGAAGACCUCCUAACAGAUGUUGCUUCCUCAAUGCAUCAAGUUGUCGGAUGGUCAACAGGAGGAUGCACUGGUUCUAAUUUCCGGAUGCACUGUAAUAUACAUGAUGGAAGCGAUAGUGAAUCUGAGAGUGUGGAUCUCCAUUCAUGGACUCAAUCUGGUGGGCCUUUGAUGAGGACCAUGUCAGCGAAUAUGUUUGUUGACUUUUUUCAAAAUUUGGGCAUUGAUGCUGAGAUGAAUAAAGGGGUGAUGGUUCAUUCCAACCCAACUGUAGAUCAUAUGGGGGGAAGGGAUCAGUAUCAUCAGAGCUCAAGGACAACACCAGAUGGAAGCCCACGCAACACAGAGUUCGAUCAGAGAGAUUUCAGUAAUAGAGGUCUCAUGAACAACUCUAGCAUUAUGGUGACUGAAGGUGAUCUUUUGCAGACUGAAAAAAUCCAUAAUGGGAUUGUGCUUAAUGUUGUGAAGAAGGAAGAUUUAGCUGUUUUGAGUAGGAAUCAUGAUUUGGAAAAUCACAACAAUCUAGUUGCUGAAUGUUUGCAACUUGAAUGUCCAGGUGGGGAAAUGGAUGCCAGCUCAGAAUCUGAAUAUGGGGAUGAUGUCGUUGUAGCUCAUUGCCCAAAUGAAAUGGGUGAUGAUGAUCCUACUGUGGCAAAUUGCCGAAGUGUCGCAUUAUAAUUGUGACUUUGUGGAUCCUUCUACCAUGGCUAUUGGUAAUCACCAUAGUAUUAUUGAUGGUUGACUUUUAAGGGCCAUUCUGCUCACUUGGACAAAGUGAAGUUGUUUCCCACAUUACAGCCUGAUCAGAAGUUCUGCUUUUCGCAGACAGAUUAGGUACUUAUACUUUAAAUGAAAAAAAAAAAAAAAAAUCAAUAGUAAAAGUGUUAGGAUGGCUAAAAUUCAAGCAUUGCUGUUGGAAUAUUUUGGUCCGUAAAUCACUUGGCUUUGAGCUGUCCAUCCAUCAAGAUUGUUGACAGUGAUCUAAUCUUGCGCAAGCACGUAUUGUUUCAAUUGUAAAUUGCAGCCGGUGUUGGAGUGCAUUUGAAAGGGGUGCCCAGCUAGCUCUUGAUACAUGAUGUGUGUGCGCGCAAGUGUGUAUAUAUAUCUCCUUCACUCUUCAAUUUUCAGAGAGAGAAAGAGGAAGAGAGUGAGGGAAGGAAGAUGCCAGCAGUUCACGGAGUGAGGUCGAGGACGAGAGAUCUGUUCUCUUGGCCUUCAGGAAGAAGGGUUACAUCGCGCUCACAAUGUACCUCAGGACCUACAGAAUCGGGGACUACGUCGAUAUCAAGGUUAAUGGCGCUGUGCACAAGGGAAUGCCACAUAAAUUCUACCAUGGUCGCACUGGGCGUGUUUGGAAUGUCACCAAGCGUGCUAUUGAAGUCAACAAGCAGGUUGGUAAUAGAAUAAUCAGAAAAAGGAUCCAUUUUAGAGUCGACCACGUGCAGCCUUCAAGGUGCACCGAGGACUUGAGACUCAGGAAGUUGAAGAAUGACCAAUUGAAAGCCGAGGCAAAGGCAAAGGGUGAGGUUAUCAGCAUGAAGAGGCAGCUGGAGGGCCCCAAACCUGGUUUCAUGGUGGAAGGUGCAACCUUGGAAACUUUUACUCCAAUUCCAUAUGAUGUUGUCAACGAUCUUAAGGGCGGAUACUGGGUUAGCUGUUCUGUUGAUUUUUAAUCUACACCAGACUGGCUUAUGUGGAUGCUUGUCUUGUUGGUUUGCUUUAGAGAUUAAACUUUUCAAUGCAGCCCAGACUUAUUAUUUAUUUCUAGAGAUAGAAAUUAUCCUGUUUUUUGAAAAAAAAAAGUGUGUGUAUGUAUAUAUAUAUAUAUAUAUAUAUAUAUAUAUAUAUAUAUCAAAUUUAACUAUUGCACGUUAUCCCAGGGCAAAGGCAUGAUCUUUUGUCUGAGAGUUGUCUUCAACGAAAGGCUUCAAGUGUUUCCAGUUUA